Molecule: ribosomal RNA, 1699 nt
Filed under: Providencia rettgeri
Lineage: Bacteria; Pseudomonadati; Pseudomonadota; Gammaproteobacteria; Enterobacterales; Morganellaceae
Description: partial 23S ribosomal RNA
Rfam family: Bacterial large subunit ribosomal RNA
Source: RNAcentral
GGGUUGUGAGGUUAAGCGACUAAGCGUACACGGUGGAUGCCUAGGCAAUCAGAGGCGAUGAAGGACGUGCUAAUCUGCGAUAAGCGUCGGUAAGGUGAUAUGAACCGUUAUACCCGACGAUUUCCGAAUGGGGAAACCCAGUGCAAUUCGUUGCACUAUCGUUUGAUGAAUACAUAGUCAAACGAAGCGAACCGGGGGAACUGAAACAUCUCAGUACCCCGAGGAAAAGAAAUCAACCGAGAUUCCCCUAGUAGCGGCGAGCGAACGGGGAGCAGCCCAGAGUCUUAAUCAGCAUUAGUAUCAGGAGAACGGUCUGGAAAGUCCGGCAGUAAAGGGUGAUAGCCCCGUAUCUGAAGAUAUUAGUGUUGUGAACUCGACGAGUAGGGCGGGACACGUGUUAUCCUGUCUGAAUAUGGGGGGACCAUCCUCCAAGGCUAAAUACUCCUGAUUGACCGAUAGUGAACCAGUACCGUGAGGGAAAGGCGAAAAGAACCCCGGCGAGGGGAGUGAAAUAGAACCUGAAACCGUGUACGUACAAGCAGUGGGAGCCUUGAUUUAUCAGGGUGACUGCGUACCUUUUGUAUAAUGGGUCAGCGACUUAUAUUCUGUAGCAAGGUUAACCGUAUAGGGGAGCCGUAGGGAAACCGAGUCUUAACUGGGCGAAUGAGUUGCAGGGUAUAGACCCGAAACCCGGUGAUCUAGCCAUGGGCAGGUUGAAGGUUGGGUAACACUAACUGGAGGACCGAACCGACUAAUGUUGAAAAAUUAGCGGAUGACUUGUGGCUGGGGGUGAAAGGCCAAUCAAACCGGGAGAUAGCUGGUUCUCCCCGAAAGCUAUUUAGGUAGCGCCUCGUGAACUCAUCUUCGGGGGUAGAGCACUGUUUCGACUAGGGGGUCAUCCCGACUUACCAACUCGAUGCAAACUACGAAUACCGAAGAAUGUUAUCACGGGAGACACACGGCGGGUGCUAACGUUCGUCGUGAAGAGGGAAACAACCCAGACCGCCAGCUAAGGUCCCAAAGUCAUAGUUAAGUGGGAAACGAAGUGGGAAGGCUCAGACAGCCAGGAUGUUGGCUUAGAAGCAGCCAUCAUUUAAAGAAAGCGUAAUAGCUCACUGGUCGAGUCGGCCUGCGCGGAAGAUGUAACGGGGCUAAACUAUGCACCGAAGCUGCGGCAGCGAUAUGUAAAUAUUGUUGGGUAGGGGAGCGUUCUGUAAGCCUGUGAAGGUGUACUGUGAGGUAUGCUGGAGGUAUCAGAAGUGCGAAUGCUGACAUAAGUAACGAUAAUGCGGGUGAAAAACCCGCACGCCGGAAGACCAAGGGUUCCUGUCCAACGUUAAUCGGGGCAGGGUGAGUCGACCCCUAAGGCGAGGCAGAAAUGCGUAGUCGAUGGGAAACGGGUUAAUAUUCCCGUACUGGUGAUAAUUGCGAUGGGGGGACGGAGAAGGCUAGGCUGGCCGGGCGACGGUUGUCCCGGUUUAAGGAUGUAGGCAGGUGAAUUAGGCAAAUCCGGUUCACUAUAUGCUGAGGUCUGAUGACGAGUCACUACGGUGGCGAAGUAGCUCAUGCCCCGCUUCCAGGAAAAGCCUCUAAGCUCUAGAUUAUCACUAAUCGUACCCCAAACCGACACAGGUGGUCAGGUAGAGAAUACUCAGGCGCUUGAGAGAACUCGGGUGAAGGAACUAGGCAAAAUGGUGCC